GAUAUACAGUCCCAGAAUACAAGGUAAGAGAAUCAUUAGACUUCUACAGCUGUUGGUUGGAUGAAAUGUCACUAAUGGAUAUAUUUUAGUGUUGGACCACCAUUUGAGUUAUUUAUAUGGUGCAUUUUGCGAUACAUUUGUGUGGUGUUAUGAAUGUGAAACACAUUGUUUCUUACUGUUUGAGAUGUUAGUUAAGUUAGGCAAGAAAAGUUGUUUUGGUUGUUUCUUUUCUCCUUUCAGCAGUAUAUAAUGAGACAUUUUAUGUUUUUACCACUUUCUAAACCUUGUAAUAUACUUUUUCUUUUUUCUUGAUGCAUCUUUGUUGAAGUUUUUGUGAUUCUGCAUCCAUGGGAAAUGGUUUGUUAGAGAAGGUGGGUUUGACAGGGUACAUAUUGAGAGGUAGGAAACCGAUUCAGUUGUUGUUUACUUUACAAAAUUGAAUAAACUAUGGAAUAAACUUGGCGCUUUAAAGCAUCAUUUAACUAUUUGUGGAUGUGGUGUUUGUGGAUGUGGUGCUUCUGAAGUAUAGCUUGAGAGAGAGAGAGAGAGAGAGAAUGAGAAUAAACUGAUGGCAAUUUUUAAUGAGUUGUUUGACCAUAUAAGAAAUCAAAUCUUGAUUUUGGAUCUGUUACCAACACUCAAUAAAGUCUAUAAAUCUAUAUGCAGCCACUGAGUGUGUUGAUGGACAAGCAACUGCAAUUGGUCCUACUAGCGAUUGGAAUGCUAAUUUAGCUUCAGCUAUUUAACAGGACUUUUUGUCCAAAUGUAUUUAUGAACAAGUUCAUAAAAGGCAGGUUAGCUCUAUAUAUAACAUAAGUAUAAUCUUGCAAUAUACUUCAUAAAAUUUUCUUUGAGCUGUUAUUUACUCACCACCUGCAGUUGGUAUCAAGUCUUAAAUUAGUUAGACAUUCAAUAAAAAGACUUUUUAUAUGAUUCCAAUGAUUCUCUACAUAAUAUGCUUCUUAAAACAAAAUUUGAUUCAAUUUAUUUUAACACCAUAAUUCUUUAUAAAAUAAAUACCUACAAAAUUUCUUACAGUUAGUAAUUUAAUGGUCAUGGUCAGUAAACGGUCAGUAACUUAUUUUACAAAUCACUUUUUCCAUAAUUUGAUCAGUUAACAUGAUUUCUUCUGGUGCGUUAUUAUUUAUAAAUACUAAUAAUUACAUUGUAAAAUUUAUAAUUUAUUUUUAGUAAUAUAAUUUAUUUAAUUAAUUUAUAAUAUAAUAUUUUAAUUUACAUUUAAAAUCCACAUGGUCACGUCUAUUUUAAUGGAUUAAAAAAUUAUACAAAUACACAUUAUUUAAAAUAUUUCAAUUUGAUUUGUUUGAUUAAUUUACUAUUUUAAUUUAAUUUAUGUUCUAUUAACAAAUAUAACAUUAAAAUUUUAAUAGAUUGUGUAUUUUAUUAAAACUAUUAUAUGUUUUAAUAAUUUACUUAUAUUAAGACUGUUAUUAAUAAUUAAAAUUCUAAUAUUUCAAUUUGAGAUGUUAGUUAAGUUAGGCAAGAAAAGUUGUUUUGGUUGUUUCUUUUCUCCUUUCAGCAGUAUAUAAUGAGACAUCUUAUGUUUUUACGACUUUCUAAACCUUGUAAUAUACUCGAUAAAAUUUUCUUUGGGCUCUUGUUUGUACAUGGUAUUUUUCUUUUUGCAAGAUGCAUCAUUCUUGAAGUUUUUGUGACUGCAUCCAUGGGAAAUGGUUUGUUAGAGAAGGUGGGGCUGACAGGGUACAUAUUGAGAGGUAGGAAACCAAUUGCAAAAUGAUUCAGAUCCUUUGACUCUUCAAAACUCAGAUAAUCCAAGUAGGAUUCUCAUAUCUGCACCGUUAAAUUUAGUAAUUUAUUCGACUUGGAGUAUGUCUAUGACUAUGACACUUGCUUUAAAGAAAGAUUUGGGCAACUUAUACACCAAUUAAAGAAAGAAACAAGUAGUUUUCAGUCAAGAAUCUAUAUGAGUUGUUGUUUACUUUACAAAAUUGAAGAAACUAUGGGAUAAACUUGGUGUUUUAAAGCAUCAUUAAAGAGUAGGUUGAAUAUGAGUUUGCUUUUAGUAUAAUUCUAUGUUCAGCCUCCUCAUUCUUAAAAGAAAAGUUAGGAAGUUAGAAAGAUGGGAGUGGAGGAAAGAGUUUCAUAUAGAUUUUGUGACUUUUGGAAAGCUUUUGGGCAUGUUAGAGAUACUUGCUGAUUGGUUUAAUGUUUCUUGUGGUCCAGUAGUGUCAAUACAAAGAAACUUCAUCUGAUUAAAUGGAAUACUCUUUUGUUGCCUAAAAAGAAUGGAGGCUUAGACAUGAAAGAGAUCUCUCUUCAAAUUCAAGCUCUUUUGUUAAAAUGGCUUUGGAGAUUUGAAAAUCAUAGGGAUUCACUCUAAGUUCAACUUCUUCUAUCCAAAUAUUCUUUCAAUUUGGAGAAGGGUAUCUCUCUUGCUCCAGGAAAUUGCAUUUCUUCCCUUCAGAAAGACAUUCGAGGCUAUGCUACUUUCGAUGAACUCUUCCUUC
Molecule: long non-coding RNA, 2489 nt
Filed under: Manihot esculenta (cassava)
Lineage: Eukaryota; Viridiplantae; Streptophyta; Magnoliopsida; Malpighiales; Euphorbiaceae
Description: long non-coding RNA (MESC_LNC005145)
Source: RNAcentral